GAUGAACGCUGGCGGCGUGCCUAAUACAUGCAAGUCGAGCGAACGGACGAGAAGCUUGCUUUUCUGAUGUUAGCGGCGGACGGGUGAGUAACACGUGGAUAACCUACCUAUAAGACUGGGAUAACUUCGGGAAACCGGAGCUAAUACCGGAUAAUAUUUUGAACCGCAUGGUUCAAAAGUGAAAGACGGUCUUGCUGUCACUUAUAGAUGGAUCCGCUCUGCAUUAGCUAGUUGGUAAGGUAACGGCUUACCAAGGCAACGAUGCAUAGCCGACCUGAGAGGGUGAUCGGCCACACUGGAACUGAGACUCGGUCCAGACUCCUACGGGAGGCAGCAGUAGGGAAUCUUCCGCAAUGGGCGAAAGCCUGACGGAGCAACGCCGCGUGAGUGAUGAAGGUCUUCGGAUCGUAAAACUCUGUUAUUAGGGAAGAACAUAUGUGUAAGUAACUGUGCACAUCUUGACGGUACCUAAUCAGAAAGCCACGGCUAACUACGUG
RNAcentral lists this ribosomal RNA (497 nucleotides) under uncultured bacterium. RNAcentral describes it as "partial 16S ribosomal RNA". It matches the Rfam family "Bacterial small subunit ribosomal RNA", at positions 28 to 507 of the family's 1533-position model. The record is from RNAcentral.